Numida meleagris (helmeted guineafowl) is the source of this 1960-nucleotide long non-coding RNA. RefSeq lists it as uncharacterized. The record is from RefSeq and is a predicted model, not a curated record. The transcript has 3 exons. Lineage: Eukaryota; Metazoa; Chordata; Aves; Galliformes; Numididae.
GAAGAGAAGAGAAGAGAAAAAGAAAGCUGAAGCAUAUUUCAGACUAAGACAAAGAAGAAGUUGCUGGCACUGCCAAUAAUACAUCUACCUGCUACUCACAGAACAACACAUUCAUAUAUCUUCAGAGUUAAGAGACGGCUUCCAGAAGGCAACUUCGUCUUGUCACGCUGUUUCUGUGGGGCACACGAGACUCACAUAUUUCUGACAGCAUACUCCAGCUGACUACCUGGGGUGCCUGCCUUAGGCUUUCUGACUACUGUAGCAUCCCAAGUCUUCAUUGAUUCCAACUGCUGCUGGCAAACUCUGCACUUCUAUAGUCACCGGAAAGAAGUGGUCACCAUGCCUGAGUGGAGAUCUGACUAAGACCCAACAUUGCAUUUUCUGUUUUCUUUCCUCCAGAAGAAGUAAAAGUGAAUAAUUCUGAAGAACUGAGGAAAAUAAAAAUAUUUUACUGCCUUGGGUCUUGUUUGCCAUGGUUUCCCUAGGAAGAAGACAAGAGAGUCACAGAUAUUUUUUUCCAAUGGGUUUUGUUUGCUUCAAAGAUUGGACUGAGUUCUCUUCUUCCUUCUUAUCGCUGUUGAGGGGCAGGAGAACUAUGAGUGCCUCUUCUCAGUAGCCUAUUUCUGAAAGUAUAUUACGUGCAAGAGCAUUGCUGAAGUAGUUGUUCAUAGCCAUCUUUGCAAGGUUUUAGAAAUGAAAAAAACAGUUCUAAAAGAGAGUUUAUCUGUGCUGGCCUUGUCUCUAAUAAGGCAUCCUCGCACUGUCUCUUAGUGUUCAGUGCUAAGCAUGCUCAGACACUGUGGAUGAUUCUGCACUGGGAGACAGCUUGUUUGCUAGAGGUAACAGCUCUCAGAGGUGGAGCAGGAAAGGUCUUCAAAACCAUGGACAGUUUUUUUAUGAGUGACACAUCUGAAAAAGAAGAACAGCAAAGAAACUGAGAAAAGCUUUGAAAUGUACCUUUGUCAUAGUGAUCUUUAGUGUUGCUAUCAUUAAGUAUGAAGUUGAACAUGUACGUUCUAAGGUUUGGGGAUUUGGGGAGUCACUGUUUCCUUGGGUUUUUUUUAGUUAAGCUUGUUUUUAAUGAUGACUUAAAAGUGUCUUUAAAACAUUAAGGGAAGAAAAAAUAUGAAUGGAAAGUGGUAUUUCCCUUGGGAUUCCAUAUAUCAAUUGGUCUAAAGUCAAAAACGCUGAGAUACAUAAUAAAAUAUAAUAAAAUAACAAAAAGAUACAAAAGAAGUUAUGGAAAUCAAAGAGAAAUCAAGACAUGAACAGAAAAGAUAUAUUAGCAGAUGAUUUAAUGUAAAAGAAACUCUUAGUAAACCAACAAAUCAAAGAGGCUGUUUUGUAACAUUUACCCUUUAACACAGUAUUUAUUUGUGAUAUAUGUCAUGCAGCUUAUUUAAAUGGUCCCUUGAAAUCACAUGUCCUGUUUUAUGAUGUAAAACAUAAAAAAGGAAAUGAAGAGGGAAUGAGAUAUUAGCAUAGCAGUAUGAACUCCAGCUCUGUUUUCACCAUAUUAUGGGAGAAGACACUGCAUCUGAAGCUAAAAAUGCCAUAGAAAGAUGGUGCAAAUUAGUUUUGAAAAAGUAUCAAGAAUAAAGUACUCGUUGUACUAUCUGAGCCCUGGAAAGUGAGUUAAUUAAAGCCAGCAUUGACACAAUGAGGUUAUUUUACCUGGUUGAUAGACGAUAAUGAGUAUCAAAUGUGUUGAAGGAAAUGGAGUCCUGUAUUCAAGUCAAUGAUUAAGGCUAAAUCAACUUUAAUCCCAUACAAAACCUGAUCAGCUUUUAGAACUCAACCUUGAUUACCUUGGCUCAAAUAGGUUAAACAAAAAAGAAAAAAGAAAAAAAAGAAAAACAACACAUCGUAACUGCAGAACUAAUGCACACUGAGCCAUAGAAUUAUUACUUUUUUUUUCCUUUUGGUAUCGAUUAGAAUGGAUGUCAUAUGAGAAAGCAAA